This 302-nucleotide ribosomal RNA is filed under the name Clostridium perfringens. RNAcentral describes it as "partial 16S ribosomal RNA". It matches the Rfam family "Bacterial small subunit ribosomal RNA", at positions 1 to 298 of the family's 1533-position model. Lineage: Bacteria; Bacillati; Bacillota; Clostridia; Eubacteriales; Clostridiaceae. The record is from RNAcentral.
UUUAAAUUGAGAGUUUGAUCCUGGCUCAGGAUGAACGCUGGCGGCGUGCUUAACACAUGCAAGUCGAGCGAUGAAGUUUCCUUCGGGAAACGGAUUAGCGGCGGACGGGUGAGUAACACGUGGGUAACCUGCCUCAUAGAGUGGAAUAGCCUUCCGAAAGGAAGAUUAAUACCGCAUAACGUUGAAAGAUGGCAUCAUCAUUCAACCAAAGGAGCAAUCCGCUAUGAGAUGGACCCGCGGCGCAUUAGCUAGUUGGUGGGGUAACGGCCUACCAAGGCGACGAUGCGUAGCCGACCUGAGAG